GACGAAGCCCAUCCCCGGGUGCGGGAGGCGGGGAGGGGAGGGCAGGCAGAGGAUUUCGCUCGCUCGCCCGCGCGGGAUCCGGGACGCGCCGGUGGCGUCCGCUGGCAGCAGAGACUGUCAGUUUCGGAUCCAAGGACGGCGAUGGCAGAGCUCACCCGGGUUGCCUGUCAAAUCAAGGCUAUCGCAGAAUAAAUCCCGCCGCCUGCCGCGAAGCCCCAGCGCACCGCAAACUUCACCUUGCCUUACACCCAGACAAAACUCUCGUUGCAACUGGCCAAGUCGGGAAGGAGCCAUAUAUAUGCAUAUGGGAUUCCUAUAAUGUCCAGACUGUGUCUAUUCUUAAAGAUGUCCAUACACAUGGAGUUGCCUGCCUGGCUUUUGACUCAGAUGGACAGCGUUUAGCCUCUGUGGGGUUGGAUGCCAAAAACACAGUCUGCAUUUGGGACUGGAGGAAGGGAAAACUUCUGGCCU
RNAcentral lists this small RNA (471 nucleotides) under Pongo abelii (Sumatran orangutan). RNAcentral describes it as "processed transcript". Lineage: Eukaryota; Metazoa; Chordata; Mammalia; Primates; Hominidae. The record is from RNAcentral.